UACGUAGGGGGCUAGCGUUGUCCGGAAUUAUUGGGCGUAAAGAGCUCGUAGGCGGUCUGUCACGUCGGCUGUGAAAUCCCGAGGCUCAACCUCGGGUCUGCAGUCGAUACGGGCAAACUAGAGUAUUGCAGGGGAGACUGGAAUUCCUGGUGUAGCGGUGAAAUGCGCAGAUAUCAGGAGGAACACCGGUGGCGAAGGCGGGUCUCUGGGCAAUAACUGACGCUGAGGAGCGAAAGCGUGGGGAGCGAACAGG
RNAcentral lists this ribosomal RNA (253 nucleotides) under uncultured bacterium. RNAcentral describes it as "partial 16S ribosomal RNA". It matches the Rfam family "Bacterial small subunit ribosomal RNA", at positions 524 to 776 of the family's 1533-position model. The record is from RNAcentral.